RNAcentral lists this ribosomal RNA (495 nucleotides) under uncultured bacterium. RNAcentral describes it as "partial 16S ribosomal RNA". It matches the Rfam family "Bacterial small subunit ribosomal RNA", at positions 28 to 507 of the family's 1533-position model. The record is from RNAcentral.
GACGAACGCUGGCGGCGUGCCUAAUACAUGCAAGUAGAACGCUGAAGGAGGAGCUUGCUUCUCUGGAUGAGUUGCGAACGGGUGAGUAACGCGUAGGUAACCUGCCUGGUAGCGGGGGAUAACUAUUGGAAACGAUAGCUAAUACCGCAUAAGAGUAGAUGUCGCAUGACAUUUGCUUAAAAGGUGCAAUUGCAUCACUACCAGAUGGACCUGCGUUGUAUUAGCUAGUUGGUGAGGUAACGGCUCACCAAGGCAACGAUACAUCGCCGACCUGAGAGGGUGAUCCGCCACAAUGGGACUGAGAAACGGCUCAGGAUCCUACGGGAGGGAGCAGUAGGGGAUCUUCGGCAAUGGACGGAAGUCCUACCGAGCAAAGCCGCGUGAGUGAAGAAGGUUCUCGGAUCGUAAAGCUCUGUUGGAAGGGAAGAAAGAGUGUGAGGGUGAAAAGUUCACGCUGUGACGGUAUCUUAACAGAAAGCGACGGCUAACUACGUG